CAGCGACGCCGCGUGAGCGAUGAAGUAUUUCGGUAUGUAAAGCUCUAUCAGCAGGGAAGAAAAUGACGGUACCUGACUAAGAAGCCCCGGCUAACUACGUGCCAGCAGCCGCGGUAAUACGUAGGGGGCAAGCGUUAUCCGGAUUUACUGGGUGUAAAGGGAGCGUAGACGGCUGUGCAAGCCAGAUGUGAAAGCCCGGGGCUCAACCCCGGGACUGCAUUUGGAACUGCGUGGCUUGAGUGUCGGAGAGGCAGGCGGAAUUCCUAGUGUAGCGGUGAAAUGCGUAGAUAUUAGGAGGAACACCAGUGGCGAAGGCGGCCUGCUGGACGAUGACUGACGUUGAGGCUCGAAAGCGUGGGGAGCAAACAGGAUUAGAUACCCUGGUAGUCCACGCCGUAAACGAUGACUACUAGGUGUCGGGUAGCAAAGCUAUUCG
This 436-nucleotide ribosomal RNA is filed under the name uncultured bacterium. RNAcentral describes it as "bacterial SSU rRNA". It matches the Rfam family "Bacterial small subunit ribosomal RNA", at positions 389 to 842 of the family's 1533-position model. The record is from RNAcentral.